RNAcentral lists this ribosomal RNA (253 nucleotides) under uncultured bacterium. RNAcentral's name for it is "partial 16S ribosomal RNA". It matches the Rfam family "Bacterial small subunit ribosomal RNA", at positions 524 to 776 of the family's 1533-position model. The record is from RNAcentral.
UACGUAGGGGGCAAGCGUUAUCCGGAAUUACUGGGUGUAAAGGGAGCGUAGACGGCUGUGCAAGUCUGGAGUGAAAGGCGGGGGCCCAACCCCCGGACUGCUCUGGAAACUGUAUGGCUGGAGUGCAGGAGAGGUAAGCGGAAUUCCUAGUGUAGCGGUGAAAUGCGUAGAUAUUAGGAGGAACACCAGUGGCGAAGGCGGCUUACUGGACUGUAACUGACGUUGAGGCUCGAAAGCGUGGGGAGCAAACAGG